CCCCUCAGGCGUUCGCCGCGCCCGCACGUGACCCGGCGGCGGCGCCACGUGAGCGGCGCCACGUGACCCGGCGCCAUGGCCGCCAGCCGCUACCGGCGCUUCCUGCGGCUCUGCGAGGAAUGGCCGGUGGAGGAGACCCGGCAGCAGCGCGACCUGGGCUCGUUCCUGCGGCAGCGGGUGGCGCAGGCCUUCCGCGAGGGCGAGAACACGCCGAUCCCUGACCCCGAGGCCUGUGACCAAAUGUACGAGAGCUUGGUCAGGAUCCACACCAACUUCUACAAAAACAAGGUGAGAGCUGAGGCACUGCCUCUGUCCCUCUCUUUUGGGGGGGAGCCACCACCUGCUGCAGCAUUCCCGGGAGUGGCAGCAUGCCUGGGGAUGCCUGAGGGACAGCUGAGGGGUGGAUGCAGCCGUGCCUGUGGUCACCCAGGGCAGCUGCUGGCCUGGUUCUUGGUGUGGGUGAACAGAAUCCCAGCUGGAAACGCUCUCAGACUGUCCCAGCUGGUGACACUUGUCCCUUUCUCAUGCACUACAAGUGACUUCUUUGUCUCUCUCCCUCCUUUUCCUGCUCUCCUGGGAAGUACCCACGCCUGAGAGAAACCACCUUCACCGGGGUGACAGUGGAGGAUUGCAGGACGAUCCUGGCCACAGACAUUCUGAAACAGAUGGAAGACAGGAAAAAAGGGACGUGGAAAAGACUGCGGGAAAAGUUCUCUGCCAAGAAACCCGAGGAUGACUUGAAGUGAGGGCCCAGCUCUCAGCUUCUCCACUGUACAUAUCCCUGAAGCUCUGUGUGUUGCCAUGAUGAAUAAAACCACUUAUUCCUCUUAGCAA
Molecule: RNA transcript, 834 nt
Organism: Motacilla alba alba
Lineage: Eukaryota; Metazoa; Chordata; Aves; Passeriformes; Motacillidae
Gene name: ubiquinol-cytochrome-c reductase complex assembly factor 2
Exons: 3
Source: RefSeq, a predicted model, not a curated record